GUUGUAUGAAUGGAGUAGUUGAGGAAAGUCUAAAGCAAAUACCCGUGACCUCAUUUUCUCUUUCAACACUAUUUGAAAUACUAUUUCCAAAUGUUUAGGAGAAAUGGGGAUUUUAGUUUCUUCAGGUUUGUGGUCUUUCAGAGUUGGAAGGGGCCACUGAGCUGAUGCUUGGCCGCUGUGUGAACAUUUCUGCUUGAACAUGUGUUGUGCCGGGAAGCCUUCUUCUCAUUCUCACUGAGUGUGGCUCCCCAAAGUGCCCAUGCUGCAUUUAACAAAGCAGCCAGUUACUUUGGGAUGAAGAUUGUGCGGGUCCCAUUGACGAAGAUGAUGGAGGUGGAUGUGCGGGCAAUGAGAAGAGCCAUCUCCAGGAACACUGCCAUGCUCGUCUGUUCUACCCCACAGUUUCCUCAUGGUGUAAUAGAUCCUGUCCCUGAAGUGGCCAAGCUGGCUGUCAAAUACAAAAUACCCCUUCAUGUUGAUGCUUGUCUGGGAGGCUUCCUCAUCGUCUUUAUGGAGAAAGCAGGAUACCCACUGGAGCACCCAUUUGAUUUCCGGGUGAAAG
This 562-nucleotide small RNA is filed under the name Pongo abelii (Sumatran orangutan). RNAcentral's name for it is "retained intron". The record is from RNAcentral. Lineage: Eukaryota; Metazoa; Chordata; Mammalia; Primates; Hominidae.